Vigna unguiculata (cowpea) is the source of this 3590-nucleotide RNA transcript. It is a transcript of the gene named ARM repeat superfamily protein, with no coding region annotated. NCBI's taxonomy places the organism in Eukaryota, Viridiplantae, Streptophyta, Magnoliopsida, Fabales, Fabaceae. The record is from RefSeq and is a predicted model, not a curated record.
CGUCGCAGUGGUUCAGUUGAGUAAGUGUAAACUUGACACCAAGGUAGUAGGCAUAGAGAAAAAUGGAGGGAGAAGAAGAGUUGCUAUGGAAAUCGGAGCCACAACGCGAGUCCAUCGUCUCCGUCACGCUCGCACGUGCUAUCACUUCUCUUCUCACUUCCCGUCCCAAGAAGCUUCAAGAUUCUAUUUCUCGCCUCUCUUCACAUUCUUCGCGCUCGCACACUUCACUCGUUUCCCUCGAAGACUCUCUCUGGUUUUUCCACAGCUACGUUGCCGACGCUGCGACCAAGAAUUCUUCCCUCGACCAAGUCCUUCUUCCAAUCAUCGACAGCGUGUUGAAGUCCAAGCACGGUGACCAAGCUAUGCUUCUGUUGAACUGGCUCUUCCAGGACGAGAUUCUUUUCCAACCCGUUGCCGAGGCUCUCGCUGGCCUAGUUGCCAGAAAGCACGUCAACGAUCGCUACUUGUUGCUUGGUUGGUGCCUCCUUCUUCGGAAUCUAGUUGAAUUUGAAUGUUCCGCUCAUCAAUCCAUGUUUGGUGGGAUACGCGAGAGGUAUGGAGAUUUGUUGAAGAUACUCUCCACUUGUCUUCCGGAUUUGGCUAGCAUUGUUAGUAAAGGAAGCACUUUGCAGGAUGGUUUUGAGUUGCCAUCUCGCCUUGGAGUGUCUGCGGCUGAUUGUUUUUUGUCUCUUUCGGGAGCAUUAACAAAAGUGGCGGACAAUAAAAAGUUGAAAUUAAAUGCCAGAGCAAAAGAUCAGGCAAUUACUUUUGUACAUUCUCCUACUACUGACAAGAAGGAGAAAUUGGAUUCAAAUUUUUUGAUGUCAAUGAUCGAUAGGGACUAUACUCUGUGGCAUCAUUUAGAUGACAUUAUUUGUUUGGUUAAAAGGCUCCUUUCUUGGAGCAGGAAAAGUCGUUUUUUACAUGCCAAAGGCUUGGAGCAAGUUCUUAAAUGGCUGCAGGAGAUAAAGAAUCACCAUGGAUCCUUUCAACUAGAGACUGAUUCUAAUGCUCUCAAGACUGGAGAUUUACUGCUCUGUUCUUGCUGGAAGCAUUAUAGCGUGCUACUACACCUGGAAGAUAAGAAGUUCUCACAGCAUUACAAGGAACUGUUGGACCAGUAUAUGUCUGGCAUCCAGUAUUAUAUGGACAACCACACUGGUGGUGGCUAUAUUGACAACAAUGAUGGUGGGUUGGAGACCAGAAAGUUCUUUUUGAAUUGUUUAUGCCUGCUUUUGGGACGUCUAGAUAUCAAGAGAUUUGAAAGCACAGUGUCGGAGUUUGGGAUGAAUAUCUCACGCAUUCUAGUACCACAGUUAAAUUGCACUGAUGAGGAUGUGAUAGCUGGAGUUGUUUCAAUAUUCAAGGCUAUCAUUCUGAGGCCAGAUUACACACAAGAAGAUGCACUUGCUGACAGUAGGAAGGCAAAUAGUGUGAUUCCUCUUCUGCUUCACCUUUUAGAUGAGCGGGAUGGUACAGCUAGAGCUGUUGUUAUGUUGAUAGGAGAAUACUGCUCAAUGAGCAAAGAUGAUCGCUGUCUUAUGGAAGUUCUGAAGCGCCUUUCUUCUGGAAACAUUUCCCAGAGAAGAAAUGCUAUGGAUGUUAUAUCAGAAGUCCUACAUAUAUCAUCAAAAUCACAAAGUUUAAUAUCUUGUUCUUCUAGGCAAGAUAUAGCAAACAAAUUGCUAGAGCGGCUUGGAGAUGAAGAAAUUAUGAUUCGUGAACAGGCAUCCAAAUUACUUCCAAUUAUAGACCCUUCACUGUACUUGCCUGCACUGGUUGGUCUUGUCUACUCUUCAGAUGUGAGACAAUCAAUUGCUAUUGAUUCCAUCAUUGAGGUCCUCAAACAUCACAACCAGAGAAUUGAAGUCAUAUUCUUGUUUCUUGACUGUCUUAGCAAUACCAGUAUAAGCGUAGACCUUCCACAGUCCAAUGGAGAUGAAGGGUCAAAGUUGGAUACUGACCGACUACUCAAACUGGUUCCAGUAUGGUCCAAAAAUGUUCAAGACUGGAACUUUUUAAUCGGACCACUGGUUGACAAGAUGUUUGCAGAUCCAUCAAAUGCAACUAUUGUCAAAUUCUUGAGUUAUAUAAGCGAAAAUCUGGCAACUGUUGCUGAUCUUGUAUUGCAUCAUGUUAUGUUGCAUGUUAGAGACCAGAAGCAGAUUGGUGAAAGUUUCUUAUCAAGAUGGGAGCAGAGAACCUACACAAGUGAUGAGUUUGAAGAAAUGCAGCAUUCUCUGUUCAAGCAUCUUUGCCCUUUGCUCAUAAUUAAAAUUCUUCCCUUGAAAACUUUCAACGACCUCAAUUCAUCAAUUAUGUAUGGGCAUCUCAGUAAAAACAUUAUCCAGGAUGUUGCAAACAGGAACACUGAUAUUGAUUGUGAUUGUAUCGCUGCUUUCCUUUUAAACAGGGCGUUUUGUGAGUUUGAAUUUGAAGAUGUUCGGAAGCUCUCUGCUGAGCUGUGUGGACGCAUUCAUCCACAAGUUCUGCUCCCAUUUGUUAGCUCCCUAUUAGAUGGAGCUGUUGCGUCUAAGAAUAUACUGAAGAUAAAGGCCUGUUUAUUUUCAAUCUGCACAUCACUUGUGGUCAGAGGAUGGGAGACGCUUUCUCAUUGUUCAAUGUAUGCAAUUAGAGAGAUGAUUGAAACUGUAUUAUUAUGGCCUUGUCUGAACGCUGAUUCAGUUUCUAAAGCACAACACGGAUGCAUUGAUUGUCUAGCACUAAUGAUAUGUGCGGAACUACAAGCUAAGGAAUCAAUCGCCACUUCCAUGCCUGACAAAAUUAGGGCCCUUGGAAAAGAAGUCUUCUGCUGCAGGGAAGUCUGUUGUCAGCUAUGUGAUCAAUCAGUUCUUUAACUACAAGAAUGAACGAACUUCAACUCCUGAGUUUGGGGAUGAAAACUCAGAAUUUGUUCCUGCUUCAGUUUCUCUCUCUUUUCGUCUGUGUAUGGGUAAUGUUCUCAUUAGCACUUGCCAGAAGAUACCAGAAUCUGGCAAGAAGCCCUUUGCAGCACAAGUUAUUCCUUUUCUCCUUCAAUGUCUUGAGUUUGAAACAAAGUCAGAGAUUAGAGCAGCAUGCACCCAGGUUCUAUUUUCAGCCGUGUAUCAUCUAAGAUCUGCAGUUCUUCCCUAUGCAUCUGACCUUCUCAGAAUUGCCCUAAAAGCCCUAAGGAAGGAGUCAGACAAGGAAAGGAUAGCAGGUGCGAAGCUCAUAGCAUCACUUAUGGCCAGCGAAGAUGUGAUUUUGGAAAACAUAUCUGUUGGACUAUUAGAAGCCAGGUCUGUACUCUCAACCAUAUCUUCGUCAGAUCCUUCUCUUGAGUUACAACAGCUUUGCGGCAAGUUGCUAGCAUGCAUAUCUUCUCCUUGAAUUGCAACAAACUCUAUUGUAGGCUUGUAGCGGUAUCCCUCUUUUCCCCCUUUUAUUUAUUCAGUGUACAUAGUUCACUUUUGUAUGUGCAGAUAAAAAUUUUUUGAAAUAGGUUCAUUGCAUACUUGUAUGAGACAAGAAGAAUAUAUUCCCAUGAUCAUGUUGUAUACAAUAUCUGUUAAUACCCGUUAACGUCAAAUUCAGGGACAUGCAGCACA